AGAGUUUGAUCAUGGCUCAGGAUGAACGCUUGCGGCGUGCCUAAUACAUGUAAGUCGAACGGAAGAUGUAGCAAUAUGUCUUUAGUGGCGAACGGGUGAGUAACGCGUUGGUGACCGGCCCCGAAGAGAGGGAUAACAGACCGAAAGGUUUGCUAAUACCGCGUAAUUUCCUUCUAGUUAGAGAGGAGGGAAGAAAGGCCGAAAGGCGCUUUGGGAGGGGCCUGCGUCCCAUCAGCUAGUUGGCGAGGUAAAAGCUCACCAAGGCGAUGACGGGUAGGGGACCUGAGAGGGUGACCCCCCACAAUGGAACUGAAACACGGUCCAUACACCUACGGGUGGCAGCAGUAGGGAAUAUUGGUUAAUGGGCGAAAGCCCGACCCAGCAACGCCGCGUGCACGAAGAAGGCCUUCGGGUUGUAAAGUGCUUUUUAGUGGGAUGAGGAAGGACAGUACCACUAGAAUAAGUCUCGGCUAACUACGUGCCAGCAGCCGCGGUAACACGUAGGAGACGAGCGUUAUCCGGAUUUACUGGGUGUAAAGCGCGUGCAGGCGGUCGGGUAAGUUGGAUGUGAAAGCUCCUGGCUUAACUGGGAGAGAUCGUUCAAAACUGCCGGGCUAGAGUGCAACAGAGGGGAGUGGAAUUCCGAGUGUAGCGGUAAAAUGCAUAGAUAUUCGGAAGAACACCAGUGGCGAAGGCGGCUCUCUGGGUUGCAACUGACGCUCAGACGCGAAAGCUAGGGUAGCGAACGGGAUUAGAGACCCCGGUAGUCCUAGCCGUAAACGAUGUGGACUUGGCGUGGGUGGGUUGAAAUCCAUCUGUGCCGAAGCAAACGCGAUAAGUCCACCACCUGGGGACUACGGCCGCAAGGUUAAAACUCAAAGGAAUUG
This 887-nucleotide ribosomal RNA is filed under the name uncultured bacterium. RNAcentral describes it as "bacterial SSU rRNA". It matches the Rfam family "Bacterial small subunit ribosomal RNA", at positions 8 to 912 of the family's 1533-position model. The record is from RNAcentral.